AAGGAGGUAUAUAUUAAGCUUCUAACUUGAUUCAGAUUAUUAAAUUAUCACUCCUUU
Molecule: transfer RNA, 57 nt
Filed under: Hirudo verbana
Lineage: Eukaryota; Metazoa; Annelida; Clitellata; Hirudinida; Hirudinidae
Description: tRNA-Ser
Source: RNAcentral